This 497-nucleotide ribosomal RNA is filed under the name uncultured bacterium. Its description in RNAcentral is "partial 16S ribosomal RNA". It matches the Rfam family "Bacterial small subunit ribosomal RNA", at positions 28 to 507 of the family's 1533-position model. The record is from RNAcentral.
GAUGAACGCUGGCGGCGUGCCUAAUACAUGCAAGUCGAGCGAACAGAUGAGGAGCUUGCUCCUCUGACGUUAGCGGCGGACGGGUGAGUAACACGUGGAUAACCUACCUAUAAGACUGGGAUAACUUCGGGAAACCGGAGCUAAUACCGGAUAAUAUAUUGAACCGCAUGGUUCAAUAGUGAAAGACGGUUUUGCUGUCACUUAUAGAUGGAUCCGCGCCGCAUUAGCUAGUUGGUAAGGUAACGGCUUACCAAGGCAACGAUGCGUAGCCGACCUGAGUGGGCAAUCGGCCACCCUGGAACUGAGACACGGUCCAGACUCCUACGGGAGGCAGCAGUAGGGAGUCUUCCGCAAUGUGCGAAAGCUUGACGGAGCAACGCCGCGUGAGUGAUGAAGGUCUUCGGAUCGUAAAACUCUGUUAUUAGGGAAGACCAAAUGUGUAAGUAACUAUGCACGUCUUGACGGUACCUAAUCAGAAAGCCACGGCUAACUACGUG